Long non-coding RNA from Camelus dromedarius (Arabian camel), 4116 nucleotides. RefSeq lists it as uncharacterized. The transcript has 13 exons. Lineage: Eukaryota; Metazoa; Chordata; Mammalia; Artiodactyla; Camelidae. The record is from RefSeq and is a predicted model, not a curated record.
UCCACUCACAGCGUACGGCACCAGCGUCCGUGCUGCGGGCGGUAGGAGGAGGGGCGUGCGCGGAUCCGGGAGCGCGCCCAGAGCGACGGGAAGCUGGGCGAGAGCCGGGAGACCCUGGACCAGUUCCCUCAGGAGGAACACAGCCUGGGGUCUGGGUCACCACGUGCCGUCGCCUCCGCUGUCGCCGCCAGGCAGUUUAUAAUGAAGAUAUUCACCACCUGUCAAGGUUGCUUUGUUUUAUACAGGGAAUAUUUAAAGUCUUUUCCACAAGUUUUUUAAAUAAGGAAGAGAGCAGGCAGGUGCUGUUUUGUGCUGUGGCCGUGUGACUGGCAUAGUCACUGGAUGUGACAGUACUCUACACAUUGGGACCCUUGCACUGCACAAUAGAAUUUGACACUUUUCAACUUGUGUUUCUUAUGGACAGAGCAGCAGUGACAUUAAAACUCUACAUCAGACGCAUUGUCAUGUAGCCCUUUCUUGGGAAGAUGCAGAUGAACAAGGAACUGAGAGUGAUGCAGGGGGAAAUACCGAGAGCUCACUGAAAGAGCAUCCUCAAGAAGAUGAACGGUCCUCAAAAACAUCUCUACCACGGAAUGUGAUCUGCCCACCGUAGAGGAGCUGAUGACCUAUCAGAAUAGAUUCCUUUGGGGUUGGUGGUUUUGAUUUACAAUCUGUCAGUGACAAGAAACUGGCUGAGAAUAAAGAAACUGAAUUUGUUAAUGCUUUACCCCUUAAGAUGAAUCCAAAUUUUAUGUCUCAAGAAACAAAAUGUGAACCAAUUUUUGGACAAAAAUGAAUAACAUAUAGUUUUACAAAAGUCAACAAAUGAAGGAUUCUUCAGGAUACGGUGGUGGGAACAAGGAAGCAGAACUGACUAUGUUUGAAAGAGUUCAGGAAGCAGAGGGAAAAUGCAGAGGGGCACAAGCUCUCAGGGAGCGGAUUAAAGUCACAUUCUCAGAAAAAAGAGUUGGAAGAUAAGACGGAGGAACUACAAAGACAGCAGGAAAAUGAAGUCUUCAAAAUGAGUCAAGACAAUUAUAUUAUUUGAGCCAAGUCAACAGAUUUGGCGACCACGAAGGGACCCAGAGCAGAAUUUUCUCCACCUGAACUCUCCGAGUAACUGGAGCCUUGGUACAAGCAGUGGCCCUUUGUGCCCAUCCGCCUCCUCUGGGAGUCCAGAUGAACUUGGAAGCUAAGUAAUCUAUCCUUGGAUAAAGAUCCGAUGCCCAUGACCUGUGGCCAGGGGAUUAUGCAUACUGGAAUAGACAUGACGUAAAGAACUGUCUCCAACCUGAAUGAAAGGACCCUUUACCAGGUACUCUUAACUAGACCAUGCACAGUGAAAGCUAAAGGAAAUUGACUUUUGGAUUAGUUUCCAGUCAGAAAGAGCCCCUGCAGUGCACUGGCCUAUAGAGCACUGCUCACCUUAAAACAAUGCUCAAAUGAAGAAAAAUCUACCAGGUCUGGAUGAGAAGAAGAUGACAUCUGAGGUAGACAGCUGACCCAAGACACCGGACCAGCUUUGAAGAAUCAAACAAAAAUCACACGUGGUUGCAUCUUGAGGGAACAUUGGCUCCUGUCACUGAAGAAAAAUUGAAGCAAUUCCAAAAACAAAUAGGAACAAGAGACACUUUUUCAGGGAUGUCAACAGGAAAAUGAAAAAUUGUGUAAUCAAGUGAAAGAUCUCCAAGAACAAAACAAAAAUGAGAAGCGAAUGUUCAAGGAAAACCAGAGCUUAUUCAGCCAGUUUCCUUAAAGAGUAUCAAGAAAGAAAACCUGUUUAUUGGAAGACCUCAAAAGACUGAAGCAAGACCAGCAAGCUCUUGAAGCAGACUUGGAAAAAUGAAGAAAGAGACCAAGCCAGAGAGCAGCAAUAAUUGCAAGAUUGAAGAAAUUCAAAGAUUAUUUUGAAUUUGAAACACUGUGUGCGCAGCUGUUCGCAGUCCUCCCAGCCAGAUCGCGACCUCCCCGGGCCGGUCUCCCUUUUUAUCCCUGGGCCUGAAACGUAAGCUCUCAAGUGCUUGACAGAUGAACAGACAACACCAUGCUGUGUUUGUAGAAGACACGAGGGUGAAUACGGUGUUCCCCACUGGGGGAAACAAAGGAGGAGUAAGCCAAGGAUGCAGAAAAGUAUAAUAUUUAAAAAAAAAAUAGAAAUAAACAGGAAGUUUCCAGCAAGGAUUUCAGGGAGGAGAAGCGUCUGAGCUGGGUCCUGGCAGGUGGAGGGCCUCAGGAGGGGAGGCGGGAGGCCGCGCAGCUGUGUCUCGUGGGCGUGUCAUUGAGCGCACCUGGGCCGCUGGCGGGCAGGACACAGGGCCAGAAAGGUCAAUAGGACGAGCCCUUGUGCCAGAGGAAGGAUGUUUUCUCUGUGAUUUUAUGAUCUUCAUUGUAAGAUACAUACAAAGUCCACUAACCUGUUUGUAAGAAAUGUACUUUCCUCGUCUGUAAAAUAGAACAGUAAUCAUUGCUCCCAUCAUGUGUUUGUUGUGUUAAAUAUAAUCAUACAAACUUUGAGAAUUGUGACUGUGAACACAGCCUUGUUUUACUAACACAAUAGACUUGACACAACGUUGCAUUUUUUUUUUUGCCUGUUAUUUUUUCAUAAUGUUUUCAUUAGAUACGCAUUGGUUUUCAUGUGGAAUAUUUUUAUUUAGUUAUUUCCAUAUUUUGAAAAAUUACAUUUGGGUUAUUGAGUUACUUAAUCUUAUAGGUGAAAAAUUAUAAGAAAUAAAAAUUUUAGAAGAAACACAUAAGAAAUGAAUCAUCUGCAGAAAAGAUUACAGUGGUGUGCUGAAAAUCAUGAGCUGGGUAACGAUGCAGCUCAGCUUAAGGAAGCAAGUGAAGAAACUGAGAAGCUCAGACCUGAGGUGAUAGAUCGCUCCAGAAUGUGCUCCUGUAGGUGAACGCUGCUUGCUGUAACAGUCAGCUCUUAGCCCUGUGUCACUGAACCAGGGCUCUAAAUUCUGUUAAUUAAAACAGCUGAUUUGGGUUUGGUUUGCUUUUCUUUGUGUAGUCUGUUUUAGAUUAGACUGAGAAUACAGUCCACUGUCCAUAUCUAGGGGCUCCCUAUCCAACAGAUUCAACCAACUGUGGAUUGAAAAUAUUCGGGGAAAAGCAGAAAGUUCCAAAAAAUAACACUUGAAUUUGCCACACACCAGUAACUACUUAUAUAGCAUUCACAUUGCCUUAGAUACCAUGAGUAAUCUAGAGAUGAUUUAAAGUACACAGGAGGAUGCAUGUAAGUUCCAUGCAAGUCCUAUGCCAUUUUAUAUAAGAGGCUUCAGCAUCCAUGGAUGUUGGCAUCUGGGGGGUCCUGGAACCUCUGAAUGCUGCCUGUACCACGCUCCUCCGGUCUCUCUCCUCCAGCCCUGCCAGACUGCUUUCUGAUUCUUGAACAGGCCAAACUCACUGCACUUCACGUUUGGCCCCUAGAAAUACCCAUUACUUUCUGAGCAUGGCUCUGCUUCAAUAAGAAGGGCUGCAUUGCCACUAGAGAAGACAGUAUGGAGGUUUCUUAAAAAACUAAAAAUAGACUUAUGAUCCAGCCUUCCCACUCCCGGGCAUAUAUCAGGAGAACUCUUAAUUUGAAAAGACACAUGCACGUCAAUGUUCACAGCAGCACUAUUUAUAAUAGCCAGGACAUGGAAACAAUGCAAAUGUCCAUCGACAGGUGACUGGAUAAAGAAGUAGUGCUAUAUUUAUACACUGGAAUACCACUCGGCUAUUAAAAAGAACAAAAUGAUGCCAUUUGCAGCAGCAUGGAUGGACUUGGAGGUAGUCAUUCUGAGUGAAGUAAGCCAGAAAAAGAAAAAUGCCAUACGAUAUCACUUAUAUGUGGAAUCUAAAAAAAGACACACAUGAACUUAACUACAAAAGAGAAACAGACCCACAGACAUUGGGAAACAAACUUUUAGUUACCAGGGAGAGAAGGGGAUGGGAAGGGAUAAAUUUGGGAAUUCGAAAAUUGCCCCUCUUGGGGAGUGAUGGAAAUGUUAGCUAUCUUGAUUGUGGUGAUGGUUUUCUGGGUGUAGACAUCUAUCAAAUUCAUCAAAUAGUACAUGUGAAAUAUGUGUAAUUUACUGAACAGGAAUCACCACAAUAAAGUUGUUUUUAAAA